CCCUUAGAUGUUCUGGGCCGCACGCGCGCUACACUGACGAAUGCAACGAGCUUAUAACCUUGGCCGAAAGGUCUGGGUAAUCUCCAAAUUUCGUCGUGAUGGGGAUAGAUUAUUGCAAUUAUUAAUCUUCAACGAGGAAUGCCUAGUAAGCGCAAGUCAUCAGCUUGCGUUGAUUACAUCCCUGCCCUUUGUACACACCGCCCGUCGCUCCUACCGAUUGAAUGGUCCGGUGAAGCGUUCGGACCGUGGCCUUUGGACGGUUCGCCGUCUGUUGGCUGCGGGAAGUUCGUUAAACCUUAUCAUUUAGAGGAAGGAGAANUCGUAACA
This 327-nucleotide ribosomal RNA is filed under the name uncultured eukaryote. RNAcentral describes it as "partial 18S ribosomal RNA". It matches the Rfam family "Eukaryotic small subunit ribosomal RNA", at positions 1470 to 1796 of the family's 1831-position model. The record is from RNAcentral.